Molecule: non-coding RNA, 45 nt
Organism: Schistosoma mansoni
Lineage: Eukaryota; Metazoa; Platyhelminthes; Trematoda; Strigeidida; Schistosomatidae
Source: Rfam
AUCCAGUUGACGAGCUCAAAAUAGGAUGAAACGUACGUCCUGGAU